GACAAAAAACAGGACAAAAAACAGGACCAAAAGUAUGACCAAGAUCAAGAUAGAAAAAUGUUAACAAUGGGUAACAUGCGAGAUACAAGUAAAUUUUAUAAAAGAAAACAUUCGGAUACUCACCAUGGUAGUAGUACCAGUAGCAAUAACAGCAGAAGUAACAGCAGAAGUAACAGCAGAAGUAACAGUAGAAGUAACAGUAGAAGUAACAGUCGUAGUAACAGUCGUAGUAACAGUCGUAGUAACAGUCGUAGUAACAGCCGUAGUAACAAUAACAGGAGAAGAACUAACAGAAAUAGCAAAUCUGUAAAUAUAUCUAAUGUUGUAUUUACAUCUAAUGGAAAAAAAACAGUCAUAGAGGAAAUUAUUUCACUGAAUCAAAUAGUAAAUAUAAAGGAAAUCAAAAUGUACAAAUAUAUGCAGCUACAAAAUGUUAUAAUUAUUUAUUACAAAAUUUUACAAAAAUAGAAUUAUUAACUAAUUUGUGUUGCUAUAUAAUUGGUACAUUUGGUUAUUUAAUUAAAAAUAAAGUAUCGAUGAAAGAACAAUUAAAAGUUAUGGAAAAAUAUUUUUAUAUUGUUUCAACAAAUACGAAAUAUGUGAUUUUAAUGGCUAUGGUAAAAAUGGUUUAUUAUGAUCAUAAAAUUAUAAAUAAUGUAAAAAAAAUAUUAAACGAUUGUAUAAAUCAUUCAGAUUUGGAAUUACAAACAAGAGCAUGUGAAUUUUUGAAUUUAUUUAAUAUGAACAGUACAAACAUGUUAAACUUUUUUAUUCAAAAUAUGCCUUUAUACAAUAACAGAAAAGUUCAUGACAAUUUUCUAAUUAAGCGUUUGCUUGAAAAAAAUAAACACACUAUUAUCGAGUUUAACGGAAAUUGCAACUUAUUAGAAAAUGAGAAAAGCGAAGAACAUUAUUAUGGGAUACAAAACAGUAAUGGCAUACAUAAAGACGACAAGUACAACAAUGAAAGUGUUAAUAACGAUUUUGACUAUAAUAAAUCAUCGACAUCUCUUAAAUUAGCAGAAAACGACUAUAAUAUGAAAAAAAGGGGACGUAGUAAAUCUGUUAAAAGUUUUACUGAUUUAAAAAAAAAAUCUACAUUUUACAAUGGAUCCGGUUUAUCUAAUACAUCACUAGUUUCUAGUUCUCCAUCUAGUGGUGAUCCUAGGAUAUCUGAUGAUGUUGACAAACAUAGUGAUUCUAAUAAAAAAAAAAUAAAUAGAUUAUUAUGUUUAAAAAAACCAAACAAUUUAAAUCAAUUAUGGUUCAACUCAUGUUUAUUAGAUAAAUCUCUACUAUUUAAAAACAGUAUUAUAUCAGUUGUAGUCAAACAAAAGUACAAAGAAAACAAAAUAUUUAUUACAUUUUUUGUAAAAAAUAUUACCAAAGACGUGAUCAAUAUUACAAGUAUUAAUAUUGAAGAUUGUGAACACCUGAAUAUAAGAGAACAAAAAAGUUUUAACCCUGAGCAUUUAGAAAGUGGAUGUAUAUACGUGCAUAAAAUUAUCGUUAUUGUAUCUGACAUUUUUUUUAAUAUUCCUAGCGUUUUUUUCAAUAUUACUACACCUAUUUCAGCGCCAUCAAGUUUCUGUACAAAACUACCAAUACUAAUUACCAGAUUUGUCAAAGAAUAUAAAAUUAAUGAAUCAAAUUUUAAAGUUUAUUGGAAUGCUCUCAUUGCUGCUCAUAACGAAGAUAAACUGAUAGGACCACCAGCAUUUUCGAAAAAAAUAUUUUGUAAUUAUUUAACACACGCUUUUAAUUUUUAUAUAUUGAAGGUAAAGUUAAAUAUUCCGCAUAAUUAGGGACGCAUAAUUAAGGGCAUUUAAUUUUUUGCGUUAAAUUCGGAAUGUUCAUUUUUG
Molecule: long non-coding RNA, 1862 nt
Filed under: Piliocolobus tephrosceles (Ugandan red Colobus)
Lineage: Eukaryota; Metazoa; Chordata; Mammalia; Primates; Cercopithecidae
Description: lncRNA (ENSPTEG00000005079.1)
Source: RNAcentral